Molecule: ribosomal RNA, 253 nt
Filed under: uncultured bacterium
Lineage: Bacteria
Description: partial 16S ribosomal RNA
Rfam family: Bacterial small subunit ribosomal RNA
Source: RNAcentral
UACGGAGGGAGCUAGCGUUGUUCGGAAUUACUGGGCGUAAAGAGCUCGUAGGCGGUUUGUCACGUCUGCUGUGAAAACUCGGGGCUUAACUCCGGGCCUGCAGUGGGUACGGGCAGACUAGAGUGCGGUAGGGGAGACUGGAAUUCCUGGUGUAGCGGUGAAAUGCGCAGAUAUCAGGAGGAACACCGGUGGCGAAGGCGGGUCUCUGGGCCUUACCUGACGCUGAGGCGCGAAAGCUAGGGGAGCGAACAGG